Molecule: ribosomal RNA, 253 nt
Filed under: uncultured bacterium
Lineage: Bacteria
Description: partial 16S ribosomal RNA
Rfam family: Bacterial small subunit ribosomal RNA
Source: RNAcentral
UACGUAGGGUGCGAGCGUUAAUCGGAAUUACUGGGCGUAAAGCGUGCGCAGGCGGUUCGCCGUGUCCUGGGGGAAAGCCCCGGGCUCAACCUGGGAAUGGCAUGGGAAACUGGCGGGCUGGAGUGUGGCAGAGGGGGGUGGAAUUCCGCGUGUAGCAGUGAAAUGCGUAGAGAUGCGGAGGAACACCGAUGGCGAAGGCAGCCCCCUGGGCCAACACUGACGCUCAGGCACGAAAGCGUGGGGAGCAAACAGG